RNAcentral lists this ribosomal RNA (736 nucleotides) under uncultured bacterium. Its description in RNAcentral is "bacterial SSU rRNA". It matches the Rfam family "Bacterial small subunit ribosomal RNA", at positions 9 to 741 of the family's 1533-position model. The record is from RNAcentral.
GAGUUUGAACCUGGCUCAGGAUGAACGCUGGCGGCGUGCUUAACACAUGCAAGUCGAACGGGGAUGCUGACGGAAGGGGUGCUUGCACUCUGGAAGUAAGGAUCUUAGUGGCGGACGGGUGAGUAACGCGUGGGUAACCUGCCCCAUACCGGGGGAUACCACCUGGAAACAGGUGCUAAUACCGCAUAAGCGCACGGGAGCGCAUGCUCCUGUGUGAAAAACUCCGGUGGUAUGGGAUGGACCCGCGUCUGAUUAGCCAGUUGGCAGGGUAACGGCCUACCAAAGCGACGAUCAGUAGCCGGCCUGAGAGGGUGGACGGCCACAUUGGGACUGAGACACGGCCCAAACUCCUACGGGAGGCAGCAGUGGGGAAUAUUGCACAAUGGGGGAAACCCUGAUGCAGCGACGCCGCGUGAGUGAAGAAGUAUUUCGGUAUGUAAAGCUCUAUCAGCAGGAACGAGACAAGACGGUACCUGACUAAGAAGCCCCGGCUAACUAGGUGCCAGCAGCCGCGGUAAUACGUAGGGGGCAAGCGUUAUCCGGAAUCACUGGGUGUAAAGGGAGCGUAGACGGCUGAGCAAGCCUGAAGUGAAAGGCGGGGGCCCAACCCCUGGACUGCUUUGGGAACUGUACGGCUGGAGUGCAGGAGAGGUAAGUGGAAUUCCUAGUGUAGCGGUGAAAUGCGUAGAUAUUAGGAGGAACACCAGUGGCGAAGGCGGCUUACUGGACUGUAACU